RNAcentral lists this ribosomal RNA (253 nucleotides) under uncultured bacterium. Its description in RNAcentral is "partial 16S ribosomal RNA". It matches the Rfam family "Bacterial small subunit ribosomal RNA", at positions 524 to 776 of the family's 1533-position model. The record is from RNAcentral.
UACGGAGGGUGCAAGCGUUAUCCGGAUUCACUGGGUUUAAAGGGUGCGUAGGCGGGCAGGUAAGUCAGAGGUGAAAUCUCCGAGCUUAACUCGGAAACUGCCUUUGAUACUAUCUGUCUUGAAUAUGGUGGAGGUAAGCGGAAUAUGUCAUGUAGCGGUGAAAUGCUUAGAGAUGACAUAGAACACCCAUUGCGAAGGCAGCUUACUACGCCUAUAUUGACGCUGAGGCACGAAAGCGUGGGGAGCAAACGGG